This 597-nucleotide ribosomal RNA is filed under the name Vishniacozyma sp. RNAcentral's name for it is "partial large subunit ribosomal RNA". It matches the Rfam family "Eukaryotic large subunit ribosomal RNA", at positions 62 to 648 of the family's 3401-position model. Lineage: Eukaryota; Fungi; Basidiomycota; Tremellomycetes; Tremellales; Bulleribasidiaceae. The record is from RNAcentral.
AAACUAACAAGGAUUCCCUUAGUAACGGCGAGUGAACCGGGAAGAGCUCAAAUUUAAAAUCUGGCGUCUUUCAGGCGUCCGAGUUGUAAUCUACAGAGGUGUUUUCCGCGCCGGACCGCAUCCAAGUCCCUUGGAACAGGGUAUCAAAGAGGGUGAUAAUCCCGUGCUUGAUGCGAUAACCAGUGCUAUGUGAUACACUCUCAAUGAGUCGAGUUGUUUGGGAAUGCAGCUCCAAAUGGGUGGUAAAUUCCAUCUAAAGCUAAAUAUUGGUGGAAGACCGAUAGCGAACAAGUACCGUGAGGGAAAGAUGAAAAGCACUUUGGAAAGAGAGUUAAACAGUACGUGAAAUUGUUGAAAGGGAAACGAUUGAAGUCAGUCGUGUGAAUGGUAUUCAGCUGUCUUCUGGCAGUGUAUUUGCCUUUCACGGGUCAACAUCAGUUUGGACCGACAGAAAAAGGUGGAAGGAAGGUGGCAUGCUUGCAUGUGUUAUAGCCUUCUACUGCAUAUGUCGGUUCAGACUGAGGAAUGCAGCUCGCAGUAAUGCCGGGGUUCGCCCACGUUCGAGCUUAGGAUGUUGACAUAAUGGCUUUAAACGAC